GAGCCGAAACCAAGAGUAGGAUGCUUAACCAACUGCACAACCCUGGUGACCUGAGAGAACACUGAAGGUCUAUUUCCUUAGCAACUUUCAAGUAUAUAAUACAAUGGUAUCAACUAUAAUCACCAGGCUUUACAUGAGAUUCCCAGAACUUGUUCAUCUUCUAACUGGCAAUUUGUACCCGGGGGCCAGCAUCUUGCCCUGUCUCCUGCCCUGACCCCGGGUGACAACCACUCUACUUUGUUUCUGUGACAGAAGCUCAUUCUUCAUCAUGACACUGCACUGCUGUUCCAAGAAGUGCCCUUCCUGGAAGGAGGCCUUCAAGGACUGUUGGGAGGACAGCCUGGUGGGGAGAGUCAUGACUACACCACCCCAAGGAGGUCUCAGAGUCCCAAUGUUCUGGGAGAAGCAUUAGGGCAUGGGGCGUCCCUCUGUGGGAGGGUGUCUGAAACCGUCUUCUCUGUUGUUGGCUGUGGUCAGGGGGAAUAGACCUUGGGCAGCCGGAAGACGAGGAGCAGCUAAAUUUGAAAAUUGCUACUGUCUAAAUUAGGAAGGGAACACUCAGCUCUCUUUUAAAUAUCAAGGCUGCUGACACCUUUAGGGCAGGGACAGACCCCAGAAUCUGGGUGGGGCCUGGCAGAGCUCAUGGACCUGGGAGACUUGGAGGCUCUGAGGUAGUCCUCUGCCUGCAGAGGGCUGGGUUCCUGUGGAGGGGAUCCCAGCCAGCAGGGGGCAGUGCUGGCCAGGGCAGCGUGGUCACUGAACCAUCCUCAUACCCCUUCCUGGGGUGUGGGGGUGUGGGGGGGGCGGACUGGGGAUGCUCAUGGUGGGGGACUUGGGGCUGCCCAGUGUUUGCUUUCUCCAGGCCUGGGGCUGCCAGAUCGAAUACAGGGUGCCCAGUGAUCAAGCCCUGCAUUGGGCUCCUCACUCCUCACUUAACUGAAAUUUACAACAAUUUUUUUUUUUUUUGUAUAAAUGCAUCCCCAAUAUCACUAAAAGUUCUUUUGAAAUCCGAACUUAAUUGGGUGUCCUGCAAACUGAUCCACGUCAAUGGAGGAUUCCUUCAAGAUGGAUGGAGGACCAAAAGAACAAUAACAACAGUUUCUUGGGCGAAGCAGUUGCUGGCAGAGCUAGAGCUCAUUCAGUCACGUGACCCUCCCGGCGCCUGCCUGCUCGCAUUCCCUCCCACCUUCUUCCUCAGAAGCCCUAAGAUGGUCUCAGAGACCUCAGGGGCCCCAGUUUAUUCUCCAGCCUCGGCCCUGAUAGGAGGCGAAGAUGAUUUUUCUUGUGGGCUUUAGCUUUUUGCUUUCCUACGAGAGCGUGCUGUGUGACCAAGUGACCCAGAGCCCCCCAGACCAGAUAGUGGCCAGUGGCAGUAGCGUGAAGCUGUUCUGUACCUAUUACACUUCAGAAUCAAACCCUGUAUUGUACUGGUACCGGAUAUGGCCAGAUCACUCCUUUCAGUUUAUCCUUUACCGGGAUAAAACUCUAUCCCACAAUGCAGAUUUUACUGGGGGUCAGUUUUCUGUGCUGCACAAUCCGUCCCAGAGAACCUUCCACUUGGUGAUCUUCCUGGUGGAGCCUGAAGACAGCGCCACUUACUUCUGUGCCUUGAACCCCCCACAGUGACUCAGGUGCCCAGGAAGUCUGAACAUAAACCCCCGGGCACAGCCCCCUCUAGAUACCUCUCAGGGCAGCUCACGUCCCCAGAUAUGCGAUCCUUCUUCCCAGUUAUUUUGUGCUCUGGCCUGGCCUUCAGAGGUGCCCCAGGGGGUCUGCUGAAUAAUAAAAAGCCAGCUUCCCCAGGCUUCAGAUGGAGCAGAGCACCUCCCCCCUUCUGACUCAGUGGGCCCUGGUGGUGGCAGAGGGGGAGAGAGAUGUCUGAAGAAUUCUCAUCUUUGCGUCCCCAGUGCCCAGCUCUCUCAUGCCUCACCGAGCAGGGCUGACAAGUACGUGCUGUGAGUCCUGUGAAGAUACUAGAAUGGGGCAUGUGAAAGGCCAGGCUAGGGAGAGCUCAUCAGGAGGGUCUUUAUUUUAGUCUCCAUCAUUUAUCCCUUAUUGUGAUUCAUUCUGUUUUCUUUUGAAGACUCAAAAUUAGACACAAAGUUACUUCAAAAAAUUUCCCAAUUCACCUUUUUUUCCUGCGUCUUCUUGUAUAGUUACCUUAUUUUUCUCGAAUGCUCUUUGACACCACCAUUUUAUUUACUUUAUUUGGAGAACAUUUUUCUUUCACUGGAGAGCCUUGAGAUACUCCCAGCAGGUUGUCUGUGAUUCCCAGAACACCAGCUUCAAAGCCCCUGAGUCUGGAGCUCAGGGGUGUGUCCAAGGAAGACCAUCAUCUUCAGGGAAAGCCAAUGGAUCAGAGGGUGGCUCAUUUGUAUGCUAAACAGAGGACAACCCUGAAGUCCAGUCCAGCUGAAAUCAAAUCAACACCUUGUCCUUGUCUUGGGGGUGCUCUCCCUGGUGGAGCCUGAAGACAGCGCCAUUCUACUCCAGUAGAACGAACUUCGGGCUGGCGCUCUUGAUAAUGUGGUUCAGCCCACAGCCCCGUCCUUGCCUCAGUGCAUGACUUCAGACAAGCAUCGGGGAAGCCACUGAUAACAGACGCUGAUAACUCUGGCAGUAACGGCUUGAAAAACCACACGUUCUGCUCGUUCACCUGUCUUCAGACUUGCGACAUUUCUUGCUCGCUCUACUGACCUUGGUGACAUGUUGUCUGGUUGUGUUUCAAGGGAGUUAUGAGAUUGCUCUCCCUUGUAGACCCACCCCUAACUCUCAGUCUUGGAAAACCAGCAUUGCUAAGAAGAUGGCUCUUGGAUUCCCGACUGUUCCAGAGUCAAGGUCUUCACAUUCCCCAGUGCUACUUUAAGGACAGACAGGGUCUGGCAUAACAAGGGGUGAGGGACCAGCGUGAAGCCCUGAUGAGCUGCCAGGGAUUUAUGGUACAGUCAGCACUGGAAUGAACAGCUAUGGCUGGCGAUUGCCUAAAAACAAGUCGAUCUCUCUUUGAAUUUGUCUUCUUCAACUGCAAAGCCGAGCACUCAGGCAGAUCUCUCUAGGGACUUGGAUUCAGAAAUUCCAUAUGAGAUGGCUCAUAUAACUCUUACCAUAGAAUCAACAUGAACCAGGACAUGUUCUGAAGAGACACCCUUUUUGUGUUCCCCACAUGCGGAUGCGGGAACAUGUUGAAAAGCCAGUUUCAUCCGGGGGAGUGAGAGGUCAGCAGCUGGGGGUCCCUUCUGGUCCAGUCAACUUCCUGGUGUCCUUCCUGAGUCCCUGAGUAAAGAGGGGUGGCUCCCCGAUGUGCUCAUCCCCUGGGGCUUGGCAGCCCGGCUGACGAUUUCCCAGGGAAAUGCUCUGCAGUUUUUGUAUGGGUCUCUGUGGCUUUUGUAGCACUGUGGGUAUCCCACCGAUCACAGUACUUCAGAGCUUUACAAAAACCUCCCCUGGUUUCACUCUAUGUGGCCUCUGAGCACCCCUGGGGCCUGAUGUUUGCUUCAAGUCAGGCUGGCAAGAUGAAAGGGUUUUGGCUGCCUGCGGGGUGGGGGGUGGGGGGGCAGGCAGGCUUGCCUGGUUGCUUCUGUCUCAGGCUUUUCUGCCUUGUUGGCUGGAUCUGCCCUGGAGUUUGAGACCAGAAUGUUCAUUCAGAAGUCAUCACGUCCGUUUCCAUCUGUGUUUUCUAGCCAGUCUCCUCUCAGAUGGUUUCCCAUAGAGGAAUGGUCAGACUUCUGGAUGUCUCAAAGGGAUUCUACAUGCUGUGGGUUGGGCAGAAGAUGUCUGUGGUCGGUGAGACUUCUGUGACCUGCUAAGCCUCCCAUUCACCUCUGCCUGCCCCACUUUACACCUGAACAGUGUUAUAUAGUUGACAGAGGGCUGUCAUGUAAAUUUAAAAUUUCAUCCUCUCCAUUGACUCUCUGGUUGCUAAAUCCAGGGCCAGUGGGCCAUAUGGUGCUUUGUGUGAUGCCGAAAAGGCAACCACAAAUGCAGGGCAAAUGCAGAGGCAGCCCCUCGGGCUGGUUCAAGCUUGGCAAACAGAUGGCACCUUUGUGUGCUUUAUAAAAGCGACCCCUUUCUCCAGCUGAUGCAGCCCCGCACCAGGGCCUUGGCUCGGCUGGCAGGGCGAGAGCUGAAUUUAGCCUUGCUUGUCCCUUCAGCUGAGUGUCCUUGUGCAAGGCGGGGCCCAUACCACAAGAUACGGCUACGCUGGCCCAAUUCAGUGGAUACUUGUUAUUUAUAUUCUUGUCUGAGCUCUGGGUUAUGACAAGUUAUUCCCUUUUUGAAAACUCCUCUGGGGCCCUCUACACACUAGUCCUGGUUUGUCUGUGAUCUCUGUGUCUAUCACUGUGAAAACAAAGUGGCAUUAUUAAAUGAUAAACAUUUAAGGAAAGUGUGCAUUUUGCUGCUGUUGCUAUCAA
Mustela erminea (ermine) is the source of this 4412-nucleotide long non-coding RNA. RefSeq lists it as uncharacterized. The transcript has 6 exons. Lineage: Eukaryota; Metazoa; Chordata; Mammalia; Carnivora; Mustelidae. The record is from RefSeq and is a predicted model, not a curated record.